ACUGUAACUUGAAAUUGAAAUUGGACUUUAUAUGCGCAGAAUAGGUGGGAAGCUUUGAGAAUAUUUUCGAGGGAAUAUUGGAGCUAUCAGUGAGAUACCACUCUUAUAAUGUUAGAUUUCUAACUUUGAACCAUUAUCUGGUCAAAGAACAGUUUCAGGCGGGCACUUUGACUGGGGCGGUCGCAUCCUAAAUGGUAACGGAGGCGUACAAAGGUUUCCUCUGAACGUGUAGAAAUCGUAUCUAGAGUAUAAAACUGGGGGAAAUAUAGCUUUAUCUCAACUUACCAAUACAUUGAUUGUUGCACGAUGCUGAAAUGCUUCGAAGACAAAUAGCCUGAUUAUUCGUCUUAAUCAUGAAAUGCUAUUAAAUGAAUUAUCGUUGUUCACC
Fragilariopsis cylindrus CCMP1102 is the source of this 388-nucleotide non-coding RNA. NCBI's taxonomy places the organism in Eukaryota, Bacillariophyta, Bacillariophyceae, Bacillariales, Bacillariaceae. The record is from Rfam.